This is a small nucleolar RNA of Hevea brasiliensis (rubber tree), 107 nucleotides long. The record is from RefSeq and is a predicted model, not a curated record. Lineage: Eukaryota; Viridiplantae; Streptophyta; Magnoliopsida; Malpighiales; Euphorbiaceae.
UAGCCAUGGUGUGGACACCUUCUCACUAAAUCUUUGAAUCUGUCUUAAGCUUCAUAAAGUGUUUCCACAUUGAUAUGAGUAAACAUCUAGAUAUUAUUUAUUAAUUU